Molecule: ribosomal RNA, 481 nt
Filed under: uncultured bacterium
Lineage: Bacteria
Description: partial 16S ribosomal RNA
Rfam family: Bacterial small subunit ribosomal RNA
Source: RNAcentral
GACGAACGUUGGCGGCGUGCUUAAUACAUGCAAGUCAACUGAAGCAGUGGUAGCAAUAUCGCUGUGGAGGUGGCGCACGGGUGAGUAACACGUAGGUAAUCUGCCUUCAGGUCUGGCAUAACUCCGGGAAACCGGGGCUAAUAGCAGAUGAUGCAGCGGCUCGACAUUGAGACAGUUGUUAAAGCUAUGUCGCCUGAAGAUGAGCCUGCGUCUGAUUGGCUGGUUGUCGGGGUAACGGCCCACCAAGGCAACGAUCAGUAGCUGGUCUGAGAGGAUGAUCAGGCACAGUGAAACUGAGACACGGUCCAGAGUAGUACGGGAGGGAGAAGUAAGGAAUAUUGCUCAAUGGGAGAAAUACUGAAGCAGCAACGCUGCGUGAGGGACGAAGGGCUUUUGGUUGUAAACCUCUGUAGUGAGAGAAAAAGAUCACAAUCUUUGGGACAUGAUGGUAUCUAAAAAGUAAGCCCCGGCUAACUACGUG